Long non-coding RNA from Perognathus longimembris pacificus (Pacific pocket mouse), 243 nucleotides. RefSeq lists it as uncharacterized. The record is from RefSeq and is a predicted model, not a curated record. The transcript has 3 exons. NCBI's taxonomy places the organism in Eukaryota, Metazoa, Chordata, Mammalia, Rodentia, Heteromyidae.
UACUGCUUCUAAAGAACAACAUGGCAUUCAGGACUGUUCAAACCAGGCCCUGAAAGGCUAUGCCCAGGCUGGCCACAUGGAAUAUUCAUCCUUGAGGUCACACACACUGAGAGACACCUUCUGAUGAAAACCCUUUUAAUUUUAGGGACACUCCUCUGCCCUUACAAAAGCUGUAGAUCCCAUCUUCAAUAAUGUUUAGUAUAGCAGCUGAGAAACUAAAAUUAGGUCUCCUGGAGAAAAGGG